UUGACCUAAUUUCAUCAGUAUAACGAUAAGUCAUUCAAGAAAGAUGACCUGACUGAUUAUGUAUUGUUACAAUGAAAGGAAGUAUAUAAAUAUAAUUGUUUACUAUGAUAUACAGCAAAUACAAUGGAUAGUAAAAAAGGUAUGAUAAAUGACAUUUUUAAAAAUUUGGUAUCGUUUAUUUUUUAUAUCAAGAAACUAUUUUCUUAGUAUGCAUUUUUCAAUUUUCAGUUUGAAAAGGUUUAUAUCAACUCUAUACUUUAGUCUCAAAUAUUAAUUUUCAUUUAAUUAAAAUAACAGAUUCUGUGUAAAUUAAAAAAAAAUGAAACUAUAGAAAAACAAACUAAACGUAAAGACUACUCUGCAAAGUUACAUUUAAGUAAACGGUUAAUAGACAAAAAAAUAAUAAAAUUUUAAUGAAUGCAUAUAGGUACUGUAAAAGACAAAUAGAUCAUGUGUUAUUAUUAAUCUAUGAAUAUAGUUGUUUAAUUUUGAAAGGAAAAGAGGACAUAUAAAAAUUGAUUGCUAGAAUUCACAUGUAUUAAAUAUAUAUUAAUUCUAGUUAAAGUCGGUACAAAGAAAAAGUGUAAUGACACUAUUAAUUGUAAAUUACUUAUUAAUUGAAUGCUUGUUAACUAUAAAAUUGUAUGUAUUCAAUGUAUUGUAUUGAGUUAUUUCAUUCAGGUCAGGGAAUACAUGUAAUACAAAUAAUAGUUCUGAUCAGCUUUGUUGUCAACAUUUGCACAGCGAUUGAUAAAGACAUCUCUCUUACUUCCUCAUGUGAUGGCAAACAAUACAAAUUAAAAAAUUUCCCAACUGGAUGUAAACCUGUCUCCUAUUUAGUUGUAACAGUCGACGAUGAUGUUCUACAAAAAGAACUCAGUAAAUUUAAUUGAUCAGAGUUAUGUUUUUGAAAGUAACAAUAAUUCAUAUUAUGAUGUUUUAUUUUCAAAUUGUGAUUUUUAUCGUAUUUUAGUUUUUGGUUCUGUUUUGUGUUGUAUUGUUUAUUUUGUAUAUAAGAAAAUGUAACAUGCAUCAUUAGUGUGGAUAAAUCAGGAAACCAUUAAAGAUUUUUUAAAAUCA
Molecule: long non-coding RNA, 1080 nt
Organism: Biomphalaria glabrata
Lineage: Eukaryota; Metazoa; Mollusca; Gastropoda; Planorbidae
Exons: 2
Source: RefSeq, a predicted model, not a curated record